This is a non-coding RNA of Drosophila melanogaster (fruit fly), 531 nucleotides long. Lineage: Eukaryota; Metazoa; Arthropoda; Insecta; Diptera; Drosophilidae. The record is from Ensembl.
GCUGGCUUGGUGCGGAUGGUUCUGACUAUCUCGUAAAUUAGUCUUGUGACAAACGAUGACAGUGCGGAUGGCUUGUUGCUCUGUGCAAACAAACCAACCCCAACCCCACCGCACCCACCCACGACCACUCGCCCUGCUUGCAACAUCGAUUAAACUUUGACAAAGUUGCGAUUAUUUUAUUGACAAACUGGCGACCUUGGCGUUGACAGUCGGUGACGUCACUGCGGCACUGGCUGGCACCCAGUCUUGCAGAUCCUGGCCUACGUACAAUAUACACCAAAUCAGCAUCCCAACUUACCAAUGACGGAAACGCAUUUCUCGUUCACAACUCCACUGGGCAGGAGAUGGAAGUCGAACUCCGUGCCAUUAGCCACCACAGUGUGUCCAGCGUUGUUGCCGCCCUGUGGAUUGGAAAGAUUGAAAAUGUAGUUUCCCAGAUAUACAAAGUAUGCCUGUUGAUAUACAAAAUUAGCAAUAUUUGUUUUGCUUUCGUUUGUGCGACGAGCGAGAAGAAAAACAAAAGCUUGUGGG